AUAUAAUUAAGCGGAGGAAAAGAAACUAACCAGGAUUCCCUCAGUAAGGGCGACUGAAGCGGGAAGAGCUCAGGAUGUGAAUCUGCGCCUUGUGCGCCGAAUUGUGGUCUGUCGACGGUGGCAUUACUGGCCGGGCCAAGUCCUUUGGAACAAGGCAGCUGAGAGGGUGAGACUCCCGUCCGCCUGGCUAGGUGAGCCACUAGUCUACGAGUCGAGUUGUUUGGGAUUGCAGCUCUAAGUGGGUGGUAAAUUCCAUCUAAAGCUAAAUAUUGGUGGGAGACCGAUAGCGCACAAGUA
This 297-nucleotide ribosomal RNA is filed under the name uncultured Cylindrotheca. RNAcentral's name for it is "partial large subunit ribosomal RNA". It matches the Rfam family "Eukaryotic large subunit ribosomal RNA", at positions 40 to 350 of the family's 3401-position model. The record is from RNAcentral. Lineage: Eukaryota; Bacillariophyta; Bacillariophyceae; Bacillariales; Bacillariaceae.